Molecule: transfer RNA, 72 nt
Filed under: Camelus bactrianus (Bactrian camel)
Lineage: Eukaryota; Metazoa; Chordata; Mammalia; Artiodactyla; Camelidae
Also listed under: 2 other names
Rfam family: tRNA
About the family: Transfer RNA (tRNA) molecules are approximately 80 nucleotides in length. Their secondary structure includes four short double-helical elements and three loops (D, anti-codon, and T loops). Further hydrogen bonds mediate the characteristic L-shaped molecular structure. tRNAs have two regions of fundamental functional importance: the anti-codon, which is responsible for specific mRNA codon recognition, and the 3' end, to which the tRNAs corresponding amino acid is attached (by aminoacyl-tRNA synthetases). tRNAs cope with the degeneracy of the genetic code in two manners: having more than one tRNA (with a specific anti-codon) for a particular amino acid; and 'wobble' base-pairing, i.e. permitting non-standard base-pairing at the 3rd anti-codon position.
Source: Rfam by way of RNAcentral
GAGGGUAUAGCUCAGUGGUAGAGCACACACCUAACAUAUACAAGAUCCUGGGUCCAACCCCCAGUACCUCCA